This is a non-coding RNA of Megalopta genalis, 581 nucleotides long. NCBI's taxonomy places the organism in Eukaryota, Metazoa, Arthropoda, Insecta, Hymenoptera, Halictidae. The record is from RefSeq and is a predicted model, not a curated record.
CUACGAGCGGUGGAUAAUCCAGAAAAUAUUAUGUUUAUAUUAGAAUCACCAAACGAAGAGAAACUUGCCGAAUACGAGAUGAAAAUUAUAAAUAUGGAUCAAGAACAUCUUGGUAUUUCUCACAAGUCAAGUUAGCACAAACAGCGGACACGGAUAACGAAGAAAAAGCGGUAGUUGUUAAUAUGCAAGAACCUGUAAAAUUAACAUUCUCAUGCCGUUACCUUAAUUCCUUCGUAAAGGAUGGACCCCUUUGUACACAAGUGCAACUAUCUAUGUCUAAUGACGUACAUCUAGUAUGUGAAUAUAAAAUUAGCGAUAUUGGACACAUAUGAUAUUAUUUGGCUCCGAAAAUUGAUGAUUGAGAAAAUUAAGAUUCUUAGAAACUUAUUCUAAUAUAUAAGCCGUACCAUUAUUAUUGCAGAGCAUCAUAGACUUACUUAAUUUUUAUACGAACAUCGCGGUUCUGUGUGUCUUAUUUUUUGAUCGAAUCGAUUUACUUUGUAUAUUUCCUUUGUAGAUUUAUUUAUUCAGUUCUUAUAUUAACAAUUGUCAUCAUUUAUUAAACUAUUUUUCACAAAUUA